GGUAGAGCACUGUUUCGGCUAGGGGGCCAUCCCGGCUUACCAACCCGAUGCAAACUGCGAAUACCGGAGAAUGUUAUCACGGGAGACACACGGCGGGUGCUAACGUCCGUCGUGAAGAGGGAAACAACCCAGACCGCCAGCUAAGGUCCCAAAGUCAUGGUUAAGUGGGAAACGAUGUGGGAAGGCCCAGACAGCCAGGAUGUUGGCUUAGAAGCAGCCAUCAUUUAAAGAAAGCGUAAUAGCUCACUGGUCGAGUCGGCCUGCGCGGAAGAUGUAACGGGGCUAAACCAUGCACCGAAGCUGCGGCAGCGACACUGUGUGUUGUUGGGUAGGGGAGCGUUCUGUAAGCCUGUGAAGGUGUGUCGUGAGGCAUGCUGGAGGUAUCAGAAGUGCGAAUGCUGACAUAAGUAACGAUAAAGCGGGUGAAAAGCCCGCUCGCCGGAAGACCAAGGGUUCCUGUCCAACGUUAAUCGGGGCAGGGUGAGUCGACCCCUAAGGCGAGGCCGAAAGGCGUAGUCGAUGGGAAACGGGUUAAUAUUCCCGUACUUGGUGUUACUGCGAAGGGGGGACGGAGAAGGCUAUGUUGGCCGGG
Molecule: ribosomal RNA, 592 nt
Filed under: Salmonella enterica
Lineage: Bacteria; Pseudomonadati; Pseudomonadota; Gammaproteobacteria; Enterobacterales; Enterobacteriaceae
Description: partial 23S ribosomal RNA
Rfam family: Bacterial large subunit ribosomal RNA
Source: RNAcentral